CCGAGUUAGGUACUACUUCCCGACCUCCAACCCUGUGUAACAUACCUAAAACGUUGCUUCGGCAGGAACCGCCGGCCCCAUGGUACCCCGGGGCCUUACCGCUCCCCGCCUUCGAUGGCCCUCUAUAACUCUUGCUUAUAACCGUGUCUUCUGAGUAAACAAGCAAAUAAACUA
Molecule: unclassified non-coding RNA, 174 nt
Filed under: soil metagenome
Description: partial internal transcribed spacer 1
Source: RNAcentral